Molecule: ribosomal RNA, 259 nt
Filed under: uncultured bacterium
Lineage: Bacteria
Description: partial 16S ribosomal RNA
Rfam family: Bacterial small subunit ribosomal RNA
Source: RNAcentral
GUCCAUGCCGUAAACGAUGAAACUAGCCGUUGGGCAUCUACGGAUGUUUAGUGGCGCAGCUAACGCGAUAAGUUUCCGCCUGGGGAGUACGGCCGCAAGGCUAAAACUCAAAGGAAUUGACGGGGCCCGCACAAGCGGUGGAGCAUGUGGUUUAAUUCGAUGCAACGCGAAACCUUACCUACCCUUGACAUCCUUGGAAUUCUGCAGAGAUGUGGAAGUGCCUUCGGGAACCAAGUGACAGGUGCUGCAUGGCUGUCGU